ACAAGCCUGUAUCUCCAUACGGUGGUUAUAGUGGUCAGCUCCGCAGCUGUGUGUACCAGCCCACAGAACUAGCUCUAAUCACCAAGAGCCUGGCAAAUAGGGACCCGUCCCAUGAGACUGGCCUCCCCAGGGCCACGGCCCCCCCUCUAAACCAGAGCAGCAGCUCCCUGCCUCGCUCCCUAGUGCCCCUACCCACCACAGGACUGUCCCCAGCAGUCAGUGGAAAUGGUGUGUAUAAGAAGCCUCUGUGGUGAAUCUACGCUACGCUACUACAACCUGGUUCCUGUUCUAGACCCUCCCCCUAUUCUACUCUGUGCUCUCGUUUCCCCUGCAGCCCCUGGGUGUGUUUGUCAGGAUUGGACCCUGAGAAAACCCAGAGCCUUUGACCACUGUAGAGGCCAGGCUGUUCUGUACAUACAGUAGGGCUGGAGGGAGCCAGUGUCAGAGGAGAGGCCACAGUCUUGGUGRUGUGCACCCAGAACAAGUGUGUCUCUCAUCUCCCUGUGUCUCACCCAGUCUGUCCUAGUGGCAGUACUAGCCACCCUCUACCUACCCAUCUCCCAAGCCAGCACUCCCCACCCCACAACGCCAUGCACUGAUGGGAGAUCCAACCAACACAGCAGUGUGGCCAGAGUGAAUGGACAAUGAGGCAGUUAAGAUAAAUUUGUUGCACAGCCAUAAAAACCUUUCAGUCUAAGCCCUGUAAAAAAAUCUAAAGUAAGUUUGUUCUGAA
Salvelinus sp. IW2-2015 is the source of this 733-nucleotide non-coding RNA. The record is from RefSeq and is a predicted model, not a curated record. Lineage: Eukaryota; Metazoa; Chordata; Actinopteri; Salmoniformes; Salmonidae.